RNAcentral lists this ribosomal RNA (250 nucleotides) under uncultured bacterium. Its description in RNAcentral is "partial 16S ribosomal RNA". It matches the Rfam family "Bacterial small subunit ribosomal RNA", at positions 524 to 773 of the family's 1533-position model. The record is from RNAcentral.
UACGGAGGGUGCAAGCAUUGAUCGGAAUUACUGGGCGUAAAGGGCGCGUAGGCGGCUGAGGAAGUCAGAUGUGAAAUUCCGGGGCUCAACCCCGGAGCUGCAUUUGAAACUCCUUGGCUAGAGAGCAGUUAGGGUAAACGGAAUUCCACGUGUAGCGGUGAAAUGCGUAGAUAUGUGGAAGAACACCGGUGGUGAAGACGGUUUACUGGGCUGCGACUGACGCUGAGGCGCGAAAGCAUGGGGAGCAAAC